UACGUAGGGUGCAAGCGUUGUCCGGAAUUAUUGGGCGUAAAGAGCUUGUAGGCGGUUUGUCGCGUCUGCUGUGAAAACGCGAGGCUCAACCUCGCGCCUGCAGUGGGUACGGGCAGACUAGAGUGCGGUAGGGGAGAUUGGAAUUCCUGGUGUAGCGGUGGAAUGCGCAGAUAUCAGGAGGAACACCGAUGGCGAAGGCAGAUCUCUGGGCCGUAACUGACGCUGAGGAGCGAAAGCGUGGGGAGCGAACAGG
This 253-nucleotide ribosomal RNA is filed under the name uncultured bacterium. Its description in RNAcentral is "partial 16S ribosomal RNA". It matches the Rfam family "Bacterial small subunit ribosomal RNA", at positions 524 to 776 of the family's 1533-position model. The record is from RNAcentral.